RNAcentral lists this transfer RNA (76 nucleotides) under Gammaproteobacteria bacterium SG8_47. Its description in RNAcentral is "tRNA-Phe". It matches the Rfam family "tRNA". From Rfam's summary of the family: Transfer RNA (tRNA) molecules are approximately 80 nucleotides in length. The record is from RNAcentral. RNAcentral also lists the same sequence under 6 other names. Lineage: Bacteria; Pseudomonadati; Pseudomonadota; Gammaproteobacteria.
GGCCAGGUAGCUCAGUUGGUAGAGCAGGGGACUGAAAAUCCCCGUGUCGGUGGUUCGAUUCCGCCCCUGGCCACCA